AUGAACCCUACCUCGGCCCCGGGCCCUGAUGGUCUUCCGGUUAAAUUCUUCCAAGCCUUCUGGAAUGUGAUCAAACCAGAGGUCAUGGCCAUCUUUGAUGAGUUCUAUGUUGGGUCCAUUGAUCUCGGGCGCCUCAACUAUGGGACGAUCUCGCUUAUCCCCAAGGUUCUUGGGGCAUCUGACAUCCAUCAGUUCCGCCCGAUCACGGUGAUAAAUGUGAUCUUCCGUAUUCUGGCGAAAGGGUACGCCAAUAGGGUGACCCUGCUCGCGGACCACAUUACCCACCCCAACCAAUCCGCCUUCAUCCAAGGCCGAUAUAUUCUGGAUGGGGUGCUACUCCUUCACGAAGUUUUCCAUGAGGUCCGCUCCAAACACCUCAAGGCGGUCUUCCUGAAAAUCGAUUUCCAUAAGGCCUAUGACAUUGUUAGUUGGCCCUUCCUUUGGGAAGUUCUUCUCCGGAAAGGCUUCGAUGACCGUUGGAUCACCAGGGUG
Molecule: ribosomal RNA, 492 nt
Filed under: Triticum aestivum (bread wheat)
Lineage: Eukaryota; Viridiplantae; Streptophyta; Magnoliopsida; Poales; Poaceae
Description: partial small subunit ribosomal RNA
Source: RNAcentral